RNAcentral lists this ribosomal RNA (745 nucleotides) under Epizoanthus couchii. RNAcentral's name for it is "partial 16S ribosomal RNA". It matches the Rfam family "Bacterial large subunit ribosomal RNA", at positions 1799 to 2486 of the family's 2925-position model. The record is from RNAcentral. Lineage: Eukaryota; Metazoa; Cnidaria; Anthozoa; Zoantharia; Epizoanthidae.
ACUGUUUACCAAAAACAUAGCUCUCAGCCAAUAUGAAAGUAGAAGUAUGGAGGGUGAGGCCUGCCCAAUGGUUGUAUCUAAAAACGGUUGAUAAAAGUCGACUUCAUAAGGACAAUUGAAUGGCCGCGGUAACACUGACCGUGAUAAUGUAGCGUAAUCAAUAGCCAAUUAAUUGUUGGCCAGUAUGAAUGGCGUCACGAAGGCCCCACUGUCUUAAGAGAAUUCCCAGUGAAAUUGAAUUCGUAGUGAAGAUGCUACGUCCAAUUUGUUAGACGAAAAGACCCCAUUGAGCUUUACUGGAGUCUUACAUUGCUCGGAUCAACUCUCGCCCCCCCCUUGGCGGGGGGGGUCGAAUUUAAAUGGAUAGCUUAGAUUAUGUGGUGUCAUAACCGUCGAUCAAGUAGUCCUUACAGGAUUACCCCCCCGAAGGUUGACCUAUUUGGGUGAAUGAAACCCCACUCUUCUUUGUUAAAUGAGCUAACCCUUUUCUCCCUUAAAGGGGACAAUGUAAGUUGGACAGUUUGGUUGGGGCGACCGCCUUUUAAAGAGUAACGAAGGUGUGCUUAAGGUACAUAAUUUAUAACACAAGCCUGACUGCGAGGGGGACCCUCCGAGCAGACACCUAAAGUCUUCUCCCUUCCCCCCGAAGGUUAAAGANGAAUGGUGGGUUAUAGUGACCCGUUAAUUUAGAGUGGAAUAGUUAACGAUCAACGAAUAAAAGUUACCAUGGGGAUAACAGCGUAAU